RNAcentral lists this ribosomal RNA (253 nucleotides) under uncultured bacterium. RNAcentral describes it as "partial 16S ribosomal RNA". It matches the Rfam family "Bacterial small subunit ribosomal RNA", at positions 524 to 776 of the family's 1533-position model. The record is from RNAcentral.
UACGUAGGGUGCGAGCGUUAAUCGGAAUUACUGGGCGUAAAGCGUGCGCAGGCGGGCUUUUAAGCCAGACGUGAAAUCCCCGGGCUUAACCUGGGAACUGCAUUUGUGACUGCACGGCUAGAGUGUGUCAGAGGGGGGUAGAAUUCCACGUGUAGCAGUGAAAUGCGUAGAUAUGUGGAGGAAUACCGAUGGCGAAGGCAGCCCCCUGGGAUAACACUGACGCUCAUGCACGAAAGCGUGGGGAGCAAACAGG